AGCCUUCUGUAUCCGUGCGUAGAUUUCGUCACACACCAGACCACAAGGGUUGAUGAGUUUCCCAAGAUGUGAUAAACAAAGCA
Non-coding RNA from Schistosoma mattheei, 83 nucleotides. The record is from Rfam. NCBI's taxonomy places the organism in Eukaryota, Metazoa, Platyhelminthes, Trematoda, Strigeidida, Schistosomatidae.